UACGAAGGGGGCUAGCGUUGUUCGGAAUUACUGGGCGUAAAGCGCACGUAGGCGGAUAUUUGAGUCAGGGGUGAAAUCCCAGAGCUCAACUCUGGAACUGCCUUUGAUACUGGGUAUCUUGAGUAUGGAAGAGGUAAGUGGAAUUGCGAGUGUAGAGGUGAAAUUCGUAGAUAUUCGCAGGAACACCAGUGGCGAAGGCGGCUUACUGGUCCAUAACUGACGCUGAGGUGCGAAAGCGUGGGGAGCAAACAGG
This 253-nucleotide ribosomal RNA is filed under the name uncultured bacterium. Its description in RNAcentral is "partial 16S ribosomal RNA". It matches the Rfam family "Bacterial small subunit ribosomal RNA", at positions 524 to 776 of the family's 1533-position model. The record is from RNAcentral.